Molecule: ribosomal RNA, 464 nt
Filed under: uncultured bacterium
Lineage: Bacteria
Description: bacterial SSU rRNA
Rfam family: Bacterial small subunit ribosomal RNA
Source: RNAcentral
UCCAGACUCCUACGGGAGGCAGCAGUGAGGAAUAUUGGUCAAUGGGCGGGAGCCUGAACCAGCCAAGUCGCGUGAGGGACGACGGUCCUAUGGAUUGUAAACCUCUUUUGUCAGGGAGCAAAGGGCGCCACGUGUGGCGCUUUGCGAGUACCUGAAGAAAAAGCAUCGGCUAACUCCGUGCCAGCAGCCGCGGUAAUACGGAGGAUGCGAGCGUUAUCCGGAUUUAUUGGGUUUAAAGGGUGCGCAGGCGGAGGUGCAAGUCAGCGGUCAAAUUGCGGGGCUCAACCCCGUACUGCCGUUGAAACUGCAUCCCUUGAGUGCGCGAGAAGUAUGCGGAAUGCGUGGUGUAGCGGUGAAAUGCAUAGAUAUCACGCAGAACUCCGAUUGCGAAGGCAGCAUACCGGCGCGCAACUGACGCUCAUGCACGAAAGCGUGGGUAUCGAACAGGAUUAGAUUCCCCCGUA